UUAACGCAACUUUGUAUGGAGUUGGAACGUUUGCCGCUAGGGGCGCUGUUUCAACUGCAUAGAAACUUGAGUUA
Molecule: microRNA precursor, 74 nt
Filed under: Bombyx mori (domestic silkworm)
Lineage: Eukaryota; Metazoa; Arthropoda; Insecta; Lepidoptera; Bombycidae
Description: mir-2807 microRNA precursor family
Rfam family: mir-2807 microRNA precursor family
Source: Rfam by way of RNAcentral